Molecule: long non-coding RNA, 3351 nt
Filed under: Homo sapiens (human)
Lineage: Eukaryota; Metazoa; Chordata; Mammalia; Primates; Hominidae
Description: HSALNT0053198
Source: RNAcentral
GUAAGGGGAGGCCUGAUUAUGGACCAUGGGAUUUAGCAACACAGAGAACGCUGGUGACUUUGACAAGAGUGUGUCUGGGGGAGGGUUGAGAAGAAAAUUCAAGAAUGAGCUCACCUCAAGGGGAAAGACAGGCCAGGGACAUUGGGUUGCGGGCUAUAGAAGGGUUACACAUGGGGCAAGCUCAUAGGGAGCUGUCUGGAGAGAACUCUUUUGAGUGCCUCUGCAUGGACAGGAGCUGGGGGAGAUGUGGUAUCAAGGGGAGGCUCCUAAAAAUGAGAAGUAUUCUGGCCUGCUUGCAUACCAAUUAUCCAGCAGAGGGGAGAGACAGAUAAUGCAGGAGAGGGGAUAAAUGCAGGAGGGGAAGGUUAAAGGGGCUGGGAUGCAUCGUUCAGGUGGCAGGUUUGGCUUUAGAUAAGCGCAGGGACGAUUCUUCCAUGAUACGAGGAGGGACUGCAGAGUGCACUGGCACAGCUGCAGGAAGAUGGGAAGAUGUGGUUGGGGUUUCCCAGUCUGGCAGCUGGGCAUCCUCCUCCCCAAAGCAAGAGUACCGGGAUAUGCCAAGGGGUUCUUAAAGCUGGAACUCAUGGAUUUCCCUGGCUGAUUGGAGCAUCACUGCUGCCAGCAAAGCCCAAGGUGUGAGCUCUACAUUAUGCUGAGAUGGCUAUGUACAAGUAUAUCCAGAAUGACGGUGGAUACGUUGAAAGUCCAAUCAACUGUGCUAAAUCUUGAAUCAGUUCUCUCUGUUGCCUUUUGCAGUAAAUAAGGAAAUAUGGAGUAAAAGAGUAAUCUUCCUGCUGAGCAUGUUUUGCGGUUGCCAGCGCUGCCCCGGGUGUGUCUGGAGGAACACUCCCUGUUGCCUAACAACUGCUGUAAUGUAACGGAAAUAGAAGCACGAUGCCACACAUCCCUCAGAAAACGACUUGGCCCUUGGCCCUCCUGUGGAUGAAGAGUAUAUUGAAGAGAAACUGGAUAUUUCUAAAUUUGCUAAGACUCGCUUUUCUCACUUGCUCUCAGAUCACACUACUUUUGAGUAGCCCAAAAUUUUGUUGCCAACUCAGCAAGUUAAGCAAACAAUAUUACAAAUCAUGUUGAAACUGAAGUGGUCCCCAUGGGCCAGUGAGUACGGUGCAGGUGGAGAAAAAAUUAGCUGCUGAGUUAGGACAAACUGCUCCAAUUUUGAAGGCACAAAUGGGCAUCAUCUUGGGCCCGGGUACUACCCAAGGUGGACCUCUCAAUCAGGCUCUUAUGCUCCCAGGUGUAGUUGUUGGGUGAACUCUCUCCCUGGAUGCUCAGGGACAGCAUCUCAGAGAGAGGUGAAUGGAAAAACCAUGAGACCCUGUACACACUCUAGGUGCAAUGGAUUACAAGGGUUGAUAGCUCUUCUUAGUAACCGAAAGCCUAUAUGCUCCAUCUUUCUUGAUGGCAAGGUCCCUGGGAAGGAGACAUUCUCUUAGAAUGUCAUUAAAUGACCAUAGAAUAAGCAUGAAGUGAGUGGAAUUAUGUGGAAGGGAUUCAGCAUUUUACCCAAGCACUGGGCAGCCCCUGGGUGUGGCUGUCCCUCCACAGUGGCCUGUCUGUCUAAGUCUUGACCCACCCACCCAGAUCCUCUUGGAAGCCACUGAUAGCAUUUGCCUCUGGGAAUUCUGCAGCCUUUGCUGAUGAGUCUCAGUUGACACCAUCUAUCAUUGCAGAUACAGAUGUCUCCAAAAGGCAAUUGCCAAAGGCUGUGCCACACAGCACACACCUGUCCAUGUGCAGAUUGAUUCUGUUAAACUCUUCAGCUAUCUUGUGGGCUGCUUUUCCCUGCCUCAUUAUCUGCCUGCAGACCUUCCUUCUGUGUUCUCUGCUCUUAGAGGUCAGAUUGAUCUGUAUUUUUAUCAAGAUGAGGAAGGAGAUGGUAGACUGUGAAUCAAGGAUCUACCUCUCCCAGUAAUUCACUGUGGCAUCUUGGGGCACCUGCUGGCCCUCUCUGAGCCUCCAUUUUCUUACCCACGAAAUGUGGAUUUGGACCCAGUUAUCUCCAACCACCCAAGAGUCUGUGAUUCUGCUACUAAGAAAAGCAAAAGGCAAGUACAAGAUAGCAUGUGUUUAGUUGCUGGGGAAAGCUCAGUCUAAUAUUAAAAAUAAUAAGUAUAAAAAUAAUCACCACCAUUCACUCGAGCUUGCUUUGCCAGUUCUGCACUGUGAUCUUUGCAGGGGUAAUCUUACUGAAUCCUCUGCUCCAACCCUACCAGGUGGGAACUACUUUUAUCUUUAUUUUUCUGAUGAGGAGAUUGAGCCUCAGAGAUGUUAAGCAACCUGCCGAAGCAGAGAGUUAAUAUGUCGGGAUUCAUCACAGGCAGAUCCCUCUGCUCUUGGGAAGCCCAGACCUCAGAAGCAGGAGUGGGUCUGAUUCAGGUGUGCUCUGAGGGCCAGCUGUCCUUUCCAAAAAUGCCUUCCUUUAUUUAGACACCAACAUCCUUGCUAUUUUGGAUUUUUCAAUGAGCUUCCUUAUUUUCUCCCUAUUCUGUCCUAUUCAGCAAAAUGAAUGAAUAAAUAUAGGUUCCUAAUGUUACAAAUUUAAUUUUCUUCUAGAAAUGAAAGUGUUUAUUUCUCUUCUUUUAUUUCUCAAGCCAAAAUAAUUAUUUCCUCCUUCUUAGAAGUCCAGGAAUAGGUUAAACUUUAAUUAAAAGUCUUAUGGUUCAACAGUUGGAAUGAGGAUCAGGUAAUAACGAAGAAACCCCGUAAACACCCUGAGGAGAACCAGCACCCCCUCCAUUGGUUGUUUUAGCUCAGCCCACAGCUAACAGCUCAGCUCAGAAAGUUCCUACCACCCACUCCGCUUCUAACGCCUUUUAAUAUUCGCACAGAGUUUUCUCACAUUGUGGCUCUCACACACUUCCUUUAUACAUGCUGUUUCCUCAGCCUGGAAUGCCACCUCUUUCUUUACCUGGAGAACCCCUGUCCCUUAAAGACGCAGGUCAGAAGUCACGUAGUACUCCUCUGCUACCACCUAAUGCAAAGCGUGAUUAUUCCUUCACUUCUCUUCUGCAUUUAAAUUAUUGAGGGAAGAGGCUUGGUCUCAUUGCCUUUGGAAUAGCUCUGGAUCUGCGUUCAUGUUUUGUAUAUAAUACGACUCAGUAAAGGUUGUGUAAUAUAUGACUUUCAUAUGUGUGUAUGCAAAGAUAAUGUGUUCCCAUGCCCUUUGACUCAGUUUUCCCCAUGGCAAUGAAUUUAACCACAGGAAAUAAUUGAAUAGGAGAAAGAAGAUUACACAGAUGGAAGUUCUAUAAAAUAUGUAUUUGCUAAACAUUGGAAACAAGUUAAAUGUUUAUCAAUUGAGUAAUGGCAAGUAAAUUGGGGUACAUGAUC